UAAAGCAAUAUAAGCAGAAUUAGUUAAGUCUUUAAAGACAGAAAUAUGUGCAUAUGUCUGUGUAUGUAUGAAUCAGGUAAAAACAUACCAUUCAACUUUAUUGAUGCAACUGGGAUCUUCUAUGCAUCAGGCAGUUGCUUCCCAGUGUGUUCAAAGGAAUUUUCAUCUGGGCACAAGUGGACAGGCAGAGGCUUCCAAUGGUGUGACCUCAGCCUCUCCCUCCAGCACCAGGCAUGGCUGAGCUUUUGCAAGUUCGAAUUCAUAUACACACAUCCUGUUUCAGGUUUGCCGAAGGAGACCUGAGUGAACCUGAAAAACAGAGACCAAGGGAUAUUAAAACCUCCUGCAGGGACUGUGGAGGCAGUGAUAACGAAAAGGAAGCCCAGUGUAGCUGCACACCGCCUGCAAUCCCAGAUACUAAGAGACUGAGACAGAAAGCCCUCAAGAUCAAGGCCAGCCUGGCAACUCAGCCUGUUUCAAAAACAAACAUAAAAUGCGUAGGGAUGUAGCGCACUGUGCCAGGUUCAAUCCCCAGUGCCACAAGGAGAACGAAGAAGGAAGAAGGAGAAAGAAGGAAGGAGGAGAAGUUGGAAGGAGAGAGGAAGAUGAAGAAGAUGAUGCAGAUGAGGUGAGGAAGAGGAAAAAGGAGAAACCUGGGGGCUGUCAAUCUGCACUUCUUACACUGGAUCCUGUGAAUGAAAAAUGCCUUGUUCACACGGGUGGAGAAGUGAGACCUCAGGGAACCGGAGAUGCCGACCCGACCCACGGAGGACCUAGACGCCCUCCAACAGCCCGCGUCCCGCCCCCACUCCGCAUCCCCGCCACGCCCCCUCCGCAUCCCCGCCACGCCCCCCGCCCGCGGCCCAGGGCGCAGCCAAUGGGAGCGGCCGUCGGAGGAGCGCGGCCCUUUAAGGAGCAACGCUAAGGGCUGUGGCGCAUUCAGUGCAGAGUCUUCUGGUGGCGGCUGUCGUCAUGUCCCUGCAGGCUGAUUUUGACAAGGUUGCAGCAGAUGUGAGGAAGCUGAAAGCAAGACCAGAGGACGAAGAACUGAAAGCACUCUAUGGGCUCUACAAACAGGCUGUCAUUGGGGACAUUAAUUUUGGUAAUUAUGCCACAUUUUAAAAGAUAAUACAAUUGGUUUGAACAGUAUUUGUAGAGUGCCCAACAAAAAGUAAACUUAAAGUAAAUCUCUCUUUCCUCUUUUGGCAGCAUGUCCAUCAAUGUUAGAUUUAAAAGGGAAGGCCAAAUGGGAAGCAUGGAACCUCCAAAAAGGUUUUUAAAUUCUUAAACCAGGUUCAAACAAACCUUAAUCUUUCACUGCACCACUCUGAAAUAAUCUGCUUGUAUCUUUCUAGGGUUGUCAAAGGAAGAUGCCAUGAAUGCCUAUAUUUCUAAAGCAAAAGAACUGAUUGAAAAGUAUGGAAUUUAGAAUUCAUCAGAGAAGAGUUUUCCUUCGAAUCCUUCUUAAUAGUAUGAGCUAAUAUUUAAGGGCAGUGACACCGUCGACUCCAGACCAUGGAUACAUUUGUUGUCAGCGUGAAUUAUGAUACUUAGGAAUAUACUGAAACCAUGUAGUUGACUAAAUUUUAUUUUCUUAAACCGGGUAACUUUAAAAGUAUUUUUGCUGGACAUGGUGGUACACACCUGUAAUCCCAGCACUUGGGUAGCUGAGGCAGAAUAAUCAUCAUGAGUUGGAAGCCAGCUUAGGCUACAUAGUAAGUUCAGCUACUGUGAGCCUGAACUACAUAGAUCCUGUCUCAAACAAAGCAAAAAUGUUCUUUUAAAAAAUUGUUGUUCUGGAAGUUUGUAUAUAAAAACUUCAAAAAAAUUUUUUUUCUGUUGUCUUAUCUGUUCUGCAAUGACUUAGUGCCACUGAGAUAAUAAAAAUAGUUUUAUUAUAUUAA
Cavia porcellus (domestic guinea pig) is the source of this 1904-nucleotide RNA transcript. It is a transcript of the gene named acyl-CoA binding domain containing 7, with no coding region annotated. Lineage: Eukaryota; Metazoa; Chordata; Mammalia; Rodentia; Caviidae. The record is from RefSeq and is a predicted model, not a curated record. The transcript has 3 exons.